Molecule: long non-coding RNA, 2929 nt
Organism: Bombus impatiens (common eastern bumble bee)
Lineage: Eukaryota; Metazoa; Arthropoda; Insecta; Hymenoptera; Apidae
Exons: 3
Source: RefSeq, a predicted model, not a curated record
AAUUUUUAAAUCUGUAACAUCUAAUUGUUUAACUGUCGUGUUUGAAGUACAAUCUAAUUUUUAAUAUUUGACAUGUGCAUUUUACGUUACUACUAACACGUUUAUACAUUCGAAACGUAUUAAAGCGUAUCUGGAUAUUUUCUGAGACCUUACUGAUGCGCAGCAUCGGGUUAAGUGCUAAGGUUGCCGGCUUGUGCACGUGUGUUAGCCGUUCAUAUAUCUUCUAUUGCACUUUUUGUUUUGCAUCGUUACCCUCUUAACCCAUUCUCCACUCUCAAUCGAACGGAAUCGAGUUGCAUCGAUGCAUAGAGCGUAUGAAACGCGCGAGAACGGAAAGCAGAGUCGAUGCCACGGAGGUGCACGAAGGAGGCCGAGCGGGUUCGGAAGCAGCCGAGGCCAUCUGUUACGCUCGGUUCCCACGCUUCCGCCGUCGCCUUUCCCCGCCUUUGGACCAGUCCUCAUCGGUCCUUUUCUUGCCCCCUCCUUAGCCGGCACUGCCGGCUCUCGCCGUCGCUUUAUUUUAUAUAGCCGGAGAACGCUUGGACGUCUUUAACCGCGAGUCCGCGUUUUCUGUUACGAACUUACGAGGCGAAACUUUUGUCCAUUAUCGCGAGAUUUCUGCUCGUCGUAGUUUCCGUUUGGCUUGGUCUCGAGGCGUUAAGUAAAAGUUGUACGACUAGUCUUGUAAAGAUAGGACCGGCCAAAAUCUUUAUCUCUUUCGGUCCCGUUCUGUGUACGUCACAACGAAAACAAAUGUUCCAAGAUGUUCCCUACGUAUUUUACUUUCUUACGUUCGUUUGAAAUAAAUCGAAUGUUUUACAGCAAAAUUCGUUACCUUAUUUCCUUAAUAUCUACUUAAGCAAGCGUUAGCUAUUCAAUGUUGUUAGAUGACAUAAUAUUGAAGUGUUAUAUGAAAUGGUACAUAAUUUCUUUUCAUGACUCUCACAUUUAAGAAUUAAAACUGAGGUUAGAAUUCCAGUUAAUCUUUCUUGCGAGUACAGUCUAUUUUUACUGAAUCGAAACUAUAAUCUCUGUUACCAGCAUAACUCAAUGUUAUAAGCAAGAGAUUAAGUACGUUAUGUAUUUCAGAUUUCUCUUAAAUGUGAACGUUUCCGUGGGAGCAGUUAGAUAAAUUCAGCCGGGCGGCUUCGCUUUCUCCAGUUUGUUCAUCAAGCAAGCCGACUGCGAUACUUGAAACUGGUCCAUAUAUUAUUGCCAUCCGAUAUAUUUAGUUACGCCAGUGGCAGGAAUUAGCCUGCCAAAGAAAAAAAAGUUGCUUUCAACGUGGGGCACGUGCCGUCUGCAGUCGCGCCGCCAUUGUCAUCUUCCCAGAGGCUGUGUUUACACAAACGCAUUCCCCCAAUCGCCCCCUGCUCAAAGUUGGCACUCCCGACCACCAGCCACUGCGUACAGAGAACGUUCUUAAAUGUGUUCGUACAAAAGGAAUCGUAAACGCCGCGCACGUGUGUUGACGACGCGUCGUCGAGGGGGCUGGAACGAUUAAACCGACCGCAAAAAGAGAUGGACUCGAUUCUUUAAAUACACGGUCAAUAUGACAGGGGGAGCGACCAUGGUGACAAUGUCGAGUGACUUCUAGCGACCCCUUGUUUACCUAUGAAUAAAUUCCAUUUACUUCGUUACAUAAAAACAUGAGGAUAAAAGGUCGAAAACAUAGCCAAUAGAUUACACAUUCGAACAAAGUUAAUCCCAGAUAUUGUGUAUAGUAGCUCACUAAAGUAUUCGUACAUUUAUUACGAAUGUAUGCGUAUUUCUGUGCUAUAUGAAACAUUUUGCAACUUCACUAGCAUUGUAAUGAGAUUAGGCUAUAAUUGUUACGUUGGUAGAGAAAGUUUACAUAGAAGCUACAAAAUAUUUAGUGUAAAUAUAUGUAUAUACGUAAUUAAAAGUUCCUAGUAAUUUUAAAACAAUUUGCCGAACAAUUUAAAGAAUGUAGAGGGCGGUGAUCGUGAGCAAACGAUUACGUUGAACCUAACUCGAGACAGAUGAUUUUAUGGCGCAGUAAUCGUCGCGGUAUGCAAUCGAUAAUAAAGAGACGAUCGACCCUGUGAACGAAGCCAGGUUCGGAAACCUUUGUACAUGAUGAACAAUUUGAAACGUGUUGCUGGUUGUCGUGGCAUAAAUCAGUCGCUCUGUCGGCAUGAUUAGAAACUCUUUGGAAAAUACGCGGCGAACAUUGGAAGGAACGGCGUAGUAUCGGUUCUGUUGAAACAGGCUGUCUGUCGCGUCUCAUGGCAACGCGACCUUUUCUUUAGGUUAUGUUAUGUGAUUGUUUUAAUCAAAGAACAUCGUACAUAACAUGAAACUAUGUUACAUAAUCUAAAUGAAUUUUUGCAGUUUGUCGGAAUAUGGUAACGGAUAAUAUAAUCACUUGCUAUAAUACAAUACUUAUUCUGUGCACAUAUUAGGUUGAUGCAUAUGAAAUGUCCUCUCAAAUGAAACUAAUCACGUGUAGGUUCUUCAAAUCAUCAUAUCUAUGUUGAACUGAUAUUUCUCAGAAAUCUAAUAUAAUUAAAGCACUUAUUCUUUAGGAAAGGAUAUCAUGUAAAAAUUACUUUGAUUAAAUUUACAUGUAAUGCAUUGAAGAAUCUAUAUAGUAUAUGCGGUUAAAUUUCAUUUCAAAAAGAACGUUUUAUAUACACCAAUCUAAUACAUAGAAAGGAAAUAUUAGUGGAGAAGCAUGUUUUUAGAAAAUAUAAUACAAUAUUACUAAAGCUAUAAUAAAUAUCGCUUAACUUUGGAAUAGAUUGUACAAACGCACUCGAGGAAUAGAUACCGAAAUCCCUUCUUUUUUUCGGUGUUCAAGAUUUAUAUGUUUUGUUCUGGGCGUUGUAAAUGAGUCCCUCGCGGUUCGAUAGCCACGAAUGCGUGUAUUUAGUUCGAUAAGAGAGCUAAUAUGCAACGUAUUCCG